GGGGGGGGGGGGGGGGGGGGGGGGGGGGGGGGGGGGGGGGGGGGGGGGGGGGGGGGGGGGGGGGGGGGGGGGGGGGGGGGGGGGGGGGGGGGGGGGCACCCCCCGACUCUGCUGGGCCCGGUCCGGAAACAAGAUGGCCGCCGGGAGGCAAGAUGGCCGCCGGGAUUAAAAAUGGCCGCCGGGAUUAAAGAUGGCCGCCGGGAGGCAAGAUGGCCACCGGGUUUUCGUGGUUGGUUCGUAGUCAAGAUGGCCGCCAGGAGGCAAGAUGGCCGCCAGGUUUCCUCUUGUAGUCAAGAUGGCUGCCGGGUCACAUGUUGGGCAGAAUCAAGAUGGCUGCGAGGUCACAUGUUGGGCAGAAUCAAGAUGGCGGCCAGGAAUCAAUAUGGCCGCUGCGAGACAAGAUGGCCGCCGGGUUCCUGCGUCUGCUCGAUGGUGUCAGAGUCAAGAUGGCCGCCAGGAGGCAAAAUGGCUGCCAGGAAUCACGGAGAUUGCUGGGAGACAAGAUGGACGCCCGGUCACGGGAUAAUUGGGUCAAAGUGGACGCUGAUAAACAAGAUGGCCGCCGGCACACGAAUGUUGCUGAGACUCAAAAUGGCGGCCAGGAGUGAAAAUGGACACCGGAAACAAGAUGGCCGCUCCCAAUGAUGUCAUCAGGUCGAAUAUGGACAGCAACUGUGAUGUCACAAAGUUCAAUACGGCCGCCGAAAGUGAUGCCAUGGAUAGGUGAAGUCAGCCAUCUUGGAUGCACUGUUGCGGCCAUCUUGGGGUCACUCAGAGGUCACUGUGUCGGCCAUAUUGGGGUCAAUAAAAGGUCACAGUCAGCCAUGUUGGGGCCAAAUGAAGAUCACUGUGUCGGCCAUCUUGGGGUCAACAAGAGGUCACCAUGUUGACUACAUGGGGGUCACUUUGUCGGCCAUAUUUGGGCCGCACUGUCGGCCAUAUUGGAACCAAACAAAGGUCACUGUGUCGGCCAUGUUGGGGUCAAACAAAGGUCAUCCUGGCGCCAUAUUGGGAUUACUCAACAGUGACUGUGUCGGCCAUAUUGGGGUCAAUGAAAGGUCACCCUUCCGGCCAUAUUGGGGUCACCCAAAGGUCACGGUGUUGGCCAUAUUGGAAACAAUCAAAGACCGCUUUGUCAGCCAUAUUGGGGUCACCCCAAGGUCACGGUGUCGGCCAUAUUGGCAUCACCCAGUGAUCACGUGACCACGCCCAGGCUGCCGUCGGCCAUUUUGUGC
Long non-coding RNA from Ficedula albicollis (Collared flycatcher), 1235 nucleotides. The record is from Ensembl. Lineage: Eukaryota; Metazoa; Chordata; Aves; Passeriformes; Muscicapidae.